Molecule: unclassified non-coding RNA, 405 nt
Filed under: soil metagenome
Description: partial contains 5.8S ribosomal RNA, internal transcribed spacer 2, and large subunit ribosomal RNA
Rfam family: 5.8S ribosomal RNA (bases 1-121)
Source: RNAcentral
GAUGAAGAACGUAGCGAAAUGCGAUAAGUAAUGUGAAUUGCAGAAUUCAGUGAAUCAUCGAAUCUUUGAACGCACCUUGCGCCCUUUGGACAUUCCGAAGGGCAUGCCUGUUUGAGUAUCAUGAACACCUCAACUCUCACGGCUUGUCCGUGAUGAGCUUGGACUUUGGGGGUCUUGCCGGCCUGUGGUCGGCUCCUCUCAAAUGGAUCAGCUUGCCAGUGUUUGGUGGCAUCACAGGUGUGAUAACUAUCUGCGCUUGUGGUUUUCCAUCAGAUAACCUUCAGUGAUAUGGAGGCUCGCUGGAGCUCACAAAUGUCUCUCCUUAGUGAGGACAGCUCUUUGAACGUUUGAUCUCAAAUCAGGUAGGACUACCCGCUGAACUUAAGCAUAUCAAUAAGCGGAGGA